This 1241-nucleotide long non-coding RNA is filed under the name Marmota monax (woodchuck). Lineage: Eukaryota; Metazoa; Chordata; Mammalia; Rodentia; Sciuridae. The record is from RNAcentral.
UGUUGAUAAAUCAAGCAUUGUCUAGAGCUUUGGAUGUAACUUCAGACAGCAAUGAAAACCCCUAUUUUAAAUUAAGGAUUAAGUCCUAUAAAUACAAAUUUUUAUAUACCCAAUCCAGGAUAAAAGAUGUCUAAUUGUAAUCAACCCAAUACCAAGAGACUGACUGAUCUCUUCUGUCUGUGCUACUGACAGUUUGGGCAUGCAAAAGUAACACAAGCUAGAGGAGAGGGAUCCCAUACAAGCCUCUAUCCCUGCCAAUGACCACCUUGUUUGGGGGCCUGCUGUCCAGCACAGGGGCAAUCAAUGACAGACAUGGACUGAAAUGUAUGAGGCAUGUCCUUCCUAACCAGUUGUUGAUUGACCCUUCCUUCAGCAGCGCAUGUUCGCAUGUUCUCUGAUAAGUAGUAAUAUCUAUAUAUUUGGCCCAUGGGCUAUAGUUUGCCUGCCCCUGAUAUAGAAGAAUGAAUUCUCCAGUUCAGUAGCUGCAUAUGAAGAGCCAGAGACUGUGUUGAUCUGCUCCAUUAAUGGUUCCAUAUUUUGCAUGUAAGCCAAAAUGGGAAUUAUUAUCCAAUUAAAUUUAUAAUAGAGUUUACCAUGGCUUGCCAUAAGCCAUCUUUUUUUUUUUUCAGGACCCAGGCAAAUUAACUGAAUAGGGAUAUGGUGCAAACACCACCUCUGCAUACCUACAGUCUCUGAUGACAGUUGAAAUGUCUGCAAUCCUCCUGGAUACAGACUGCUUCUCAUUUACCAUGCAGGCCAGGAAUGUGUAUGUAGGGUGUGUGUGUGUGUGUGUGUGUGUGUGUGUGUUUAGGAGAAGUUUUAGGGGUUUCUAAUUGGCCCUUCUUACCAUGAUGACUCUCAGGGAAAUAAUGUGUGUGAAAGUUCUGCCAGAUGCCCAACAUAACUGUAUACUUGGUGACUAGGAAAAAAACUGAGAUAAACUCAGGCUAAAAUUUCAUUUAGCACCUACACUCCAUAUACCACUACUCUAAUCAAAUUCCAUACUUAACAUUGCUCAAAAAAAUCUAUGUAUUUUCCCUUCCCCAGAGUACAGUACUCUAUCAACUGGCCUUGGGUCUCUCUGGUGGAAAUAUAUAUGCUCACACAGUGUGCCAAGGUUAUUCUUCAAGGGUACUCAGCUUCCCUUUCAAUACACGGAUUCUAGGUCUUGAAACUGAAAUAAGGGCCAUAAAUUUCCAUUGUGGUGACUGAUGUCACACUUCUGCUCCAUGGUUCUCAAU